GUUGAACGCUAGCGGGAGGCCUAACACAUGCAAGCCGAGCGGUAGAGAUGCUUUGGAUCCUUGAGAGCGGCGUACGGGUGCGGAACACGUGUGGAACCUGCCCUUAUCAUGGGGAUAGCCUUCCGAAAGGAAGCGUAAUUACCCCUUACAUCCUUAGUGGCAUCAUUAGAUAUCUUAAGCCUUGGCGCUUUGAGAUGGGCACGCGCAAGAUUAGAUAGUUGGUGAGGUAACGGCUCACCAAGUCGAUGAUCCUUAGGGGGCCUGAGAGGGUGAUCCCCCACACUGGUACUGAGACACGGACCAGACUCCUACGGGAGGCAGCAGUGAGGAAUAUUGGACAAUGGGUUAGCGCCUGAUCCAGCCAUCCCGCGUGAAGGACGACGGCCCUAUGGGUUGUAAACUUCUUUUGUACAGGGAUAAACCUACUCUCGUGAGAGUAGCUGAAGGUACUGUACGAAUAAGCACCGGCUAACUCCGUG
This 479-nucleotide ribosomal RNA is filed under the name uncultured bacterium. Its description in RNAcentral is "partial 16S ribosomal RNA". It matches the Rfam family "Bacterial small subunit ribosomal RNA", at positions 28 to 507 of the family's 1533-position model. The record is from RNAcentral.